Molecule: ribosomal RNA, 257 nt
Filed under: uncultured bacterium
Lineage: Bacteria
Description: partial 16S ribosomal RNA
Rfam family: Bacterial small subunit ribosomal RNA
Source: RNAcentral
AUUAACGCUGGCGGCGUGCAUGAGACAUGCAAGUCGAACGGACGGGCGAGCUUGCUCGCCCGUUAGUGGCGGACGGCUGAGUAACGCGUGGGUGACCUGCCCCGAAGUGGGGAAUAACUGCCCGAAAGGGUGGCUAAUACCGCAUGUGGUGACUGGUUCGUUCCAGUCUCCAAAGCCGCAAGGCGCUUCGGGAGGGGCCUGCGUCCGAUUAGCUCGUUGGUGGGGUAACGGCUCAUCAAGGCGACGAUCGGUAGGUG